GUCUAUAGCUAUACUACACUGAAUGCACCUGAUCUCAUCGGAUAUUGGAAACUCAGCAGGGCCAGGCGUGCUUAGUAGCUGGAGAGGAGACUGCUAAGGAAUACUGGGUGCUAUUUACU
Ribosomal RNA from Otolemur garnettii (small-eared galago), 119 nucleotides. NCBI's taxonomy places the organism in Eukaryota, Metazoa, Chordata, Mammalia, Primates, Galagidae. The record is from Ensembl.